AAGCUCGUAGUUGAAUUUCGGGAUCAAUUUAUUGGUCGUGCAAUAGUACGUACUGGUAUUAUUGAUUCCUACCUUCUGACGAACCAUGAUGUCAUUAAUUUGGUGUCAUGGGGAAUCAGGACUGUUACUUUGAAAAAAUUAGAGUGUUUAAAGCAGGCUCACGCUUGAAUACAUUAGCAUUGAAUAACGAAAUAGGACGUUUGAUUCUAUUUUGUUGGUUUCUAGGAUCGACGUAAUGAUUAAUAGGGAUAGUUGGG
Molecule: ribosomal RNA, 257 nt
Filed under: uncultured Glomeromycotina
Lineage: Eukaryota; Fungi; Glomeromycota
Description: partial 18S ribosomal RNA
Rfam family: Eukaryotic small subunit ribosomal RNA
Source: RNAcentral